This 577-nucleotide transfer RNA is filed under the name Leptolyngbyaceae cyanobacterium GSE-TBD-MK7-07G. RNAcentral describes it as "16S-23S ribosomal RNA intergenic spacer". The stretch from base 276 to 348 matches the Rfam family "tRNA". The record is from RNAcentral. Lineage: Bacteria; Bacillati; Cyanobacteriota; Cyanophyceae; Leptolyngbyales; Leptolyngbyaceae.
UAAGGGAGACCUUCCUCUGCACCAAAUCCUUGAGAUGGGAUAGUAUAGGGGGUUAACCUAGGGUCGAUUGAGGUUUAGACACAUAGGUCUGAUUGGCUUUCAAACUAUCUAGGGAAUGGAUAUGGGCUAUUAGCUCAGGUGGUUAGAGCGCACCCCUGAUAAGGGUGAGGUCCCUGGUUCGAGUCCAGGAUGGCCCACCUUAAAGAAAGCGAGGGAAUAAAUGAAAAGGUAAAGAAGUAAUUUUGCUUUUUUUAGUUUUUGUUCUGGCUUUUUCUGGGGGUUUAGCUCAGUUGGUAGAGCGCCUGCUUUGCAAGCAGGAUGUCAACGGUUCGAGUCCGUUAACCUCCACUGGCUUUAGAGUAUUUUAUUAAUUGUUUCAGCAUCUCAUUUCAAGUAGGGUUGAACUAAUUGAGAGAGACUGCUGGAAGAUUUUCCAGUUAGAACCUUGAAAACUGCAUAGUAACUUGUCAGGUAGAAGCAGUAAGUAGUGAAUGAUUUUAGUAGGGAUACUAGGAGUCAUUCACUGAGGACUGAGUCACAGACAUUAAUGUAUAACUUGUUAAAAGUUGGAAAUAGU